CAAUAGCGUAUAUUAAAGUUGUUGCGGUUAAAAAGCUCGUAGUUGGAUUUCUGUGGUAGGCAGCCGGUCCACACUAUGUGUGAGUAUCUGGUUCGGCUACUGUAUCCUCCUGAGGAACGUUGGUGCGCUUCACUGCGUGGCACGGUAUUCAGGACUUUUACUUUGAGGAAAUUAGAGUGUUCACGGCAGGCGUUUGCCCUGAAUAUAUUAGCAUGGAAUAAUGAUAUAGGAUCCACGUCCUAUUUUGUUGGUUUCUAGGACGAGGAUAAUGAUUAAUAGGGAUAAUUGGGGGCAUUCGUAUUAACACGUCAGAGGUGGAAUUCUUGGAUUGUGUUACGACGAACUACUGCGAAAGCAUUUGCCAAGGAUGUUUUCAUUGA
This 380-nucleotide ribosomal RNA is filed under the name uncultured eukaryote. RNAcentral describes it as "partial 18S ribosomal RNA". It matches the Rfam family "Eukaryotic small subunit ribosomal RNA", at positions 592 to 976 of the family's 1831-position model. The record is from RNAcentral.